GGCGGCCGCUUUGCUUUGCAAAGAGGAAAGUCCGGACUCCACAGGGCAGGAAGUCCUUCUUCAAGAAGGAUGUCGCGGGGGCAACCCCGCGGGAAGGAAAGCGCAACAGAGAACAGACCGCCGGGCGUUUCGGCGUCCGGCAAGGGUGAAACGGCGGUGUAAGAGACCACCGGGCGCCGGAGCAAUCCGGGCCGCAUGGCAAGCCCCUUCCGGAGCAAGGCCAAAUAGGGGACGAUGCCGCUGCCCGCGGCGUUAUCAGUCCCGGGUUCUGGCCGCUUAGACAGAUGGCCGCCCCCGCGCGCAAGUGCGGAGACAGAAUCCGGCUUAUGUUGCAGUU
This 337-nucleotide RNase P RNA is filed under the name bovine gut metagenome. RNAcentral's name for it is "Bacterial RNase P class A". It matches the Rfam family "Bacterial RNase P class A". From Rfam's summary of the family: Ribonuclease P (RNase P) is a ubiquitous endoribonuclease, found in archaea, bacteria and eukarya as well as chloroplasts and mitochondria. Its best characterised activity is the generation of mature 5'-ends of tRNAs by cleaving the 5'-leader elements of precursor-tRNAs. Cellular RNase Ps are ribonucleoproteins. The record is from RNAcentral.